UACGUAGGGUGCGAGCGUUAAUCGGAAUUACUGGGCGUAAAGCGUGCGCAGGCGGUUGUGCAAGACAGAUGUGAAAUCCCCGGGCUUAACCUGGGAAUUGCAUUUGUGACUGCACGGCUAGAGUGUGUCAGAGGGGGGUAGAAUUCCACGUGUAGCAGUGAAAUGCGUAGAGAUGUGGAGGAAUACCGAUGGCGAAGGCAGCCUCCUGGGCCAACACUGACGCUCAUGCACGAAAGCGUGGGGAGCAAACAGG
RNAcentral lists this ribosomal RNA (253 nucleotides) under uncultured bacterium. Its description in RNAcentral is "partial 16S ribosomal RNA". It matches the Rfam family "Bacterial small subunit ribosomal RNA", at positions 524 to 776 of the family's 1533-position model. The record is from RNAcentral.